This 409-nucleotide long non-coding RNA is filed under the name Ananas comosus (pineapple). Its description in RNAcentral is "long non-coding RNA (ACOM_LNC029536)". Lineage: Eukaryota; Viridiplantae; Streptophyta; Magnoliopsida; Poales; Bromeliaceae. The record is from RNAcentral.
GACCACUAUCACCAUGGGAGGAGGUAAAAUUAUUUGUUGCACUCUCGUCGAUCGGUAUCUAUACAUGUUCUCUAUACACAAAAUUUCCAUUUUUCUCUUCAGUGAACUCUUCAACAGAACAUCCGACAACAGUAAGCAAUCCACACGCACACGACAAAAUUAAAAUGAAAUAAAAGAGGAAGGGAAAAAUCGAAUAAAUCAAUCGGUUCUAUUUUUAUGCAAAUCGAUGGAACUAGGCUGGCGAGUUUUAAUUAAUUAAUUAAUGUUGUUGCUGCAGAGGCUCGUAGUAGCCGUAGACGCUGUAGAAGGUCUGCGUGAAGGUGAGGAGCAGGAGGACGACGGCGGCGACGAGGGAGAUGAUGGCCCAGGGGUUGCCGAAGUAGUUGUGCUUCAAGGUGGCGGUCCAGGU